AGUGAACGCUGGCGGUAGGCCUAACACAUGCAAGUCGAACGGCAGCACAGUAAGAGCUUGCUCUUACGGGUGGCGAGUGGCGGACGGGUGAGGAAUACAUCGGAAUCUACUUUUUCGUGGGGGAUAACGUAGGGAAACUUACGCUAAUACCGCAUACGACCUACGGGUGAAAGCAGGGGAUCUUCGGACCUUGCGCGAUUGAAUGAGCCGAUGUCGGAUUAGCUAGUUGGCGGGGUAAAGGCCCACCAAGGCGAUGAUCCGUAGCUGGUCUGAGAGGAUGAUCAGCCACACUGGAACUGAGACACGGUCCAGACUCCUACGGGAGGCAGCAGUGGGGAAUAUUGGACAAUGGGCGCAAGCCUGAUCCAGCCAUACCGCGUGGGUGAAGAAGGCCUUCGGGUUGUAAAGCCCUUUUGUUGGGAAAGAAAAGCAGCAGGUUAACACCCCGCUGUUCUGACGGUACCCAAAGAAUAAGCACCGGCUAACUUCGUG
RNAcentral lists this ribosomal RNA (492 nucleotides) under uncultured bacterium. Its description in RNAcentral is "partial 16S ribosomal RNA". It matches the Rfam family "Bacterial small subunit ribosomal RNA", at positions 29 to 507 of the family's 1533-position model. The record is from RNAcentral.